AACGAACGCUGGCGGCGUGGAUAAGACAUGCAAGUCGAACGGGAUUUCUUUCUGUCGCAAGACAGGAAGAAGUCUAGUGGCGAACGGGUGCGUAACACGUGGGCAAUCUGCCUUAAAGUGGGGGAUAGCUCGGCGAAAGCCGAAUUAAUACCGCAUGUGAUGAGAGUAGACAUCUAUUCGAAAUCAAAGCCGGGGCAACCUGGCGCUUUUUGUAGGAGCCCGCGGCCAUCAGCUUGUUGGUGAGGUAACGGCCCACCAAGGCUAUGACGGGUAGCUGGUCUGAGAGGACGACCAGUCACACUGGGACUGAGACACGGCCCAGACACCUACGGGUGGCAGCAGUCGAGAAUUUUUC
This 355-nucleotide ribosomal RNA is filed under the name uncultured bacterium. RNAcentral describes it as "bacterial SSU rRNA". It matches the Rfam family "Bacterial small subunit ribosomal RNA", at positions 29 to 367 of the family's 1533-position model. The record is from RNAcentral.